This is a non-coding RNA of Lonchura striata (white-rumped munia), 468 nucleotides long. The record is from RefSeq and is a predicted model, not a curated record. NCBI's taxonomy places the organism in Eukaryota, Metazoa, Chordata, Aves, Passeriformes, Estrildidae.
CUCAGCCUGUGUGCGGGUGAGCCCCGCGGGGCAGGGGCUGAGUGGAGGGGUGGACCAGGGAGUUUAAAGAGUGACACGCUCCGUGGAAAGGCAGGCAUUACCCUCCUGCUUCUUUCUGGAGUAGCAAUCGGUGGGAAAAGAGGACCAGGCUGGACUGGGCUGUGGGAAGCAGGAACAAGGAAUCAGACACUCUCCCUGGUGUUAGCAGGAAGGCAGGAGUGGGAUAGCUGCUGCUGGAUCUUGGCAUCAGGCUGUGCACAUCCCCCCACCCUUUGGCUACCAGUGUGCCAGGAGGGAAGGAGAGAGGAUGGGGGACUGCAGAUACAGACUGGACACCUCUUCACCUCCAGCUACCAGCGUGCCACAGACACUCAGGGACAGACUCUGCAGCCUUCUCACCCUUCGGCUACUGGAAAGCUACAACAGCCCCCUGCCGAGCUGACUUUUUAAUAAAGAGCUGAACAUUAA